GCCAUAGCUCAGCUAGUAGAGGAUCUGCUUUGCAUGCAGAAGGUCUCAGGUUCGAUCCCUGGAUUGGGAAUG
Non-coding RNA from Podarcis lilfordi (Lilford's wall lizard), 72 nucleotides. NCBI's taxonomy places the organism in Eukaryota, Metazoa, Chordata, Lepidosauria, Squamata, Lacertidae. The record is from the annotation of a GenBank genome assembly.